AAUGAACGCUGGCGGUAGGCUUAACACAUGCAAGUCGGACGGUAGCAGGAAAUAAGUUUACUUAUUUUGCUGACGAGUGGCGGACGGGUGAGUAACGCGUGGGAAUCUACCCUAUAGUUGGGGACAACGUAUGGAAACGUACGCUAAUACCGAAUACGCUCUACGGAGUAAAGGAGCCCUCUUCAUGAAAGGUUUCGCUAUAGGAUGAGCCCGCGUAAGAUUAGCUAGUUGGUGAGGUAAUGGCUCACCAAGGCGACGAUCUUUAGCUGGUUUGAGAGGAUGAUCAGCCACACUGGGACUGAGACACGGCCCAGACUCCUACGGGAGGCAGCAGUGGGGAAUAUUGGAUAAUGGACGAAAGUCUGAUCCAGCCAUACCGCGUGUGUGAAGAAGGCCUUCGGGUUGUAAAGCACUUUCAGUUGGGAGGAAGAUUAAGUAGUUAAUACCUGCUUAGUUUGACGUUACCUUCAGAAGAAGCACCGGCUAACUCUGU
RNAcentral lists this ribosomal RNA (493 nucleotides) under uncultured Gammaproteobacteria bacterium. RNAcentral's name for it is "bacterial SSU rRNA". It matches the Rfam family "Bacterial small subunit ribosomal RNA", at positions 29 to 506 of the family's 1533-position model. The record is from RNAcentral. Lineage: Bacteria; Pseudomonadati; Pseudomonadota; Gammaproteobacteria.